UACGGAGGGUGCAAGCGUUGCUCGGAAUUAUUGGGCGUAAAGGGUAGGUAGGUGGUCUUAUUUGUCUAGGGUGAAAGCCUUGAGCUUAACUCAAGAAGUGCCCUAGAAACGGUAAGACUAGAGUCCUGGAGAGGGUCGUGGAAUUCCCGGUGUAGCGGUGAAAUGCGUAGAGAUCGGGAGGAACACCAGUGGCGAAGGCGGCUCACUGGCCCGGUACUGACGCUGAGGUGCGAAAGCGUGGGGGAGCAAACAGG
This 254-nucleotide ribosomal RNA is filed under the name uncultured bacterium. RNAcentral's name for it is "partial 16S ribosomal RNA". It matches the Rfam family "Bacterial small subunit ribosomal RNA", at positions 524 to 776 of the family's 1533-position model. The record is from RNAcentral.